UCUCCCUUAGGUUUCCAAGACCAAGGCCACUGCACUGGCAGGAAAGAGGAGGAGGAUGGGGAGGAGGUACAGGGUUCUUUUUGGUACCAGGGGAGAAAGACAUUGUGGGAAGAGGUAGUUUGCAGGGGGUGAUGCUUCUGCUCAGCAGGAGAAAAUGUCUUCUACAGUGACGGGGGUCACUGCCACCUGAGGGUCAUCAUGGCGGGCACCUGGGGGGCUGUGGUCAGGGGGCCUCGGGGUUCUGGAGGGGAAAGGCUCCUGUGAGACCCCAGCCAUCUUGUCUGCUGCCUCUUAGCAUGAGCUUUAGCAGAGACGGAAGGGGGCACCUGGCUGCCCGAUCCCGAGGCCACCUUGUCCUCCCCUCUGUCCUGAUCACAGCCACCCUGAAGCCUGGCUUGGUCCUUCACUAAGGAUACAGCUUUGGGGGUAGCUGCAUUUCAGACUGGUCCCUGCACCCCGCCCGGGCUGCGACCCCUCCUUUCCUGGUAUCCAGGCUGAAGUUGGCGGCUUCACCUCCUUCGUGCCUUUGGGGACAGCCCUGCCUGCCCCUCCCCACUGAGGCCUCAGGAGGUAAGUGGGUAGGAGUCUGGGUGCCCUAGUGUUCCUGAAUGUGCUAUGAUUUCACACCCUGGGCCUGUCUUUCGGUUCCCCGGGGCAGGAGCUGUCAUGGGGACAGAGGCGAUGCAAUCGGGCAAGCAAGGGAGCGAGCUGCCGGCCCCAGCGGAAUCAGCCGCUGCGGUGGGUGGUGCCAGGUGAGUCACUGGCCAGAGGGGCUGGGCAGAGGCCGAGGGCCUGCCCAGCUCUGUCUCCCGCCUCUUGCCCGGCCCGAGGCUCCCUGCGGGCACCUGCGAGGCCAGAGCAGCCCCCGCUCUGCCCGAGUCCUGCCUGGCUGGCUGCUUGCUCGAGGUUGGGGAGGCACGGAGCACGCACAGCAUGCGAGGGAGCUUCCAUUUGGAAAAAGAAAAUGAUCUCCAUCAGAAAAGAAAAGGCGACACAAUUGGAAAGGAAAAAAAAAUAAAUUACCUUCAAAAUACCCCUUUUGCUCAAAAAAAUUUUUUUUCUCUAUGGUCUUCAUUUUCUUUUUAACUAUGUUGCUCUUCUUGGGAAACUGUUGACUCUUGGCUGUCCACUUCCUCAAGAUGGAUACUUGUUAAUGAUACGAUACUCCAGCCGCCGCCACCCCGGUGGUCCUUGGCCUCCUCUGAGGACAGCCCUUCCAGGUCCCGUGAUCCCAUCUCUGUGCCCUGCCCCUCGUCCAAGGGCCUCCGCCUGUCUUAGCGUGUGCCCAGUGAAAGGCAUGUCCCAGCUCUGUUCACACUGGGGGACCCUCAUACAGUGACCAGUAUAACCAAGAACUGGGUGACAUCUGUUGAAACCCACUUUAGGGACACCCACUUUCAAGCUGCUGUUAGAUGGGAGCCUUGGGGGGUGGGCUGGAGAUGGCAUUAGCUGGGGGCUGGGCCGCAUCCCGCUUUCCUGAGGCCAGGGCCGGGGCUGCAUGCAUGCCUGGCUUGAGGAGAGCGUGGGGACACCAGGAGGUAGAAGGCAGAGGGCCCUGCCUGUUCAUGGACAGGGUGGGGAAGGGGCCUCUGGGUUUCCCUAACCCAGGGGCUGGUGGGGGGUGGAGGUGGGUGGCAGUGCUGACCAGCAAAGGAGCUCAAACAUCCCUAGAGGCAGGAGUUGGUCUACAGGGGAAACAACGCAAGGCUCAAGUUCUUCCUCCAGUGUCAGGACCCCUGAGGAGCUAUCGGGAGGCCCUACCCACACCGGCUGCUCCAGCUCGGCUGGGCCUGGAGAGACCUGAGGACCUGUGCCCUUUGUGAGCUGUCCCCAGCUGGCCCCAUCAGCAUUUCUCCCAUCCUCCCACAGCAGAAGGCCGAGGAGACCC
Molecule: long non-coding RNA, 1888 nt
Filed under: Canis lupus familiaris (dog)
Lineage: Eukaryota; Metazoa; Chordata; Mammalia; Carnivora; Canidae
Description: lncRNA (ENSCAFG00845000864.1)
Source: RNAcentral